UUUUUUUUUUUUUAACAUCACUGGUAAGUUUUUCUUAAUAUCAGUUUGUAUGUAGGAUUAACAGGGAAAUAAGUUAAUGCUCUUUCGGUACUUAACAGCCAAGGGUUAAAUGUAAAUGUGAGACAUGGAUCUCCACAUUUUAUAAUAUUCCUGACUCAGAUUCUACAGUAGUAGGUCAUUGGUAAGUCUAUAAAUAAUGUUGAUUUUCUAUGUUCAUUGUUUCUAAUGUUGCAAACUAAUGCUUAUGCCAUGGUACCAUCUAUUUCAAAUCGAUUUCCUGCAAAUGCCUUUCACAACUAUAUUGCUUAUAUUAAUAAAUUAAAACACGGCAUAUUUGGACAAUGUUAUUUUUCUUGUUCCACACAACUAUGCAGAGAUCCAAAAAGAUUAUGCAGGAGAUAAAAUUGUUUACAGAAACUCUUCUUCAGAAGGGUUUAUGAAAUUAUUCUUCCACUAUUAAAAAUGAGAAAUCACAAAACAGGGAGAUUAUAACAAAUCCUUGGCAUAAAUUCACAUGAAGACUGCCUGCCAACAUUUUAAUUAAGGAGAAUAGGUUGGCUUAUCAAAUAUAAUUGAGAGAAUAUUGACCAAAGAUUGGUUUGUCUAAAAGGCAGUUGAUGGGACAUGAGGUUCUAGACAAGCAUCUCUCCUGUUCCCCCUUGACAUCCAUUAAAAAGGAACAUUCUCCUUUACUUGGCCUUCCAAGAGCUGAAACGGUUAAAUCAAAAUGCCCAGCUGGAUCUGACAGCCAGGUUCUCUGGAAGUAUAAAGCCUUCUGAUGCUGAAGGAACUCUUUCAGGGUAGAUACCAAAGGGAUUCCCAGGCCUUUGGGGACCCAGGAGGAUACCCAUGCAGGAGAAGGGUUCAUGCCCCACCCUGGCUAUAACUUGGGCCCCAACAAAUUCUCUGAUUAGAUUUGCUGAACUACUUCUAAAUGCAGAACGACAUAGAUUUACCCUGCCAGCACACAGAAAUAACUUCCUGAGAUUAAAAAAAUGACAUAUAUUCAAGAAAAAAAUGGAAAUCGACUGACAAAAAUACCCUGUGAAAUACAUCCCCUGAUUCCUUAAUGUCAUCCUCUUUAAGAACCAGAUUUUCUCACUGCCUAAACUACUCCCUGAUUGUAAAUUAAGCACCAUGUGCAUAACUUGCUUGACAGUAUUCUAGUGAUCUCAGGUUAACAUUUAACUAUUAACAGAAAAUAGGAUUCCAGGUACUAUGGCCUGGGAAGAGUACCAUUAGGGUACCAUUUAGUGAAUUCUGUUUAAGACUUAUAAUAAAGAAGUAACUUAAGUGCUGGAGGAAUCUGAGCCAAUGAAGAAAUUGAUGUGAAAAGAAUCUAUCCCUUGGGCUGGGGUAUUUUAUGUUUCAAUAUUGAAACUUGAACAUUUUUUGCAUCAGAAAAGUUAUUCUUAGUUGUUGGCAGAGUAAAUCCAUGUUAUCCUGCAUUCUGAAGUAGUUCAGCUGAAUCUAAUUAGAACAUCUGCAGAUUUAUGCAGCUUUCUGUAUAUUAAAGUCCCUACCCUUGUGAAAUAAAUAUUUCUCUUCAAUCCUUUAUUUUUACCCAUCUGAGUGUUAAUCAGACUAAUAUGGUAUAAAUUUUAACAACCACUUUUAUGAUCCUAGGAUGAAUGGUGCACUACAAGUCUAAAAUAUCAAGACCUUAUAAAUAGUGUCAGUGUGCACUGGAUUUCAAUGCCUUCCUACUGGCCAUCAAUUUUGGCUUAGAGAAAGGGAAACAAUUAUGAACUCAGCCCUUUGCUUCUUGUUAUUAGUUUUUCAGAGAUUUUCAAGGUGAUCCAUGCAUUCCUAGAAUAUUAAGGAAAACCUCUUUGGUUUCAGUGUCUCUUGAUAAAAAAUUCAUUGACUCAGGUAGGCAAUUAGAUCAAAAAAGGUCAAUUUGUUUUUGCAACUUAGAUAAAUUACUCAGACUAAUAGAGAAAAUGAGUGUUUUGCUAGAGUUAACUUUAAAAUACUCCAACCCUCUUGGUAAGCAAGUCUGCCAUGUUUCUUGAGUAAUACACUUAGACGCUAUACUUCACAUUGGGACCUUCUUUUUUCCUUUUUUAUCUUAACCAACCUUCUGUAUCAGAUCAGGCUUACCUCAAGCAAAUGAGUAACUUCCUCCUUAGUUGUAUAACACCUCAAGGUGUUACCAUGUAGUCUGAAAUUAAAAUUAGUCUGAAUUUUUCUGGCUGAGAAGCAGCACAAUCAAAAGAGGCUUAAUCCUCAAGUUCAGAUAGCCCUGUUGAAAUUCCAGCUUCAUCACUGAGUAGGUUUGAACAACUGGACAGCAAUCAAACAAUCCUGAAGCAUAAACUCUUCCUGGGUAUAAUGGAAAUAAUAAUAUUUAAUUUGAUGCAUAACCAUAAGAAUUAAUUAAAAAGAUGGAUGUAACUAGGACAUAUUCAAUAAGACCCAACAUAAAGACCUGGAGGCCUGAAAAGAGGAGCAUAGAAAAAGAGAUCCUUUUUCUUGGCAAUUAAAAAGAAUGUAACCUUUGUUUAAUUUUUUUAAAGACAUUAUCAACUCCCCCAAAAAUUGUUAUAAACAAACUCUGUCAACUUCUUCUAGUCAAGCAACACUUUAAACCAAUGACUCUCAAAAUACAGUGCCUGGGCCAACAGGACCAGCACUUGAAAAAUUGUUAGAAAUGCAAAUUCUUGGGCCCCAUUCCAGGCCUAUUAAAUGAGAAACUUGGAGGGUGGGGCCCAGCAACCACUCUUUAAAAAGCCCUCCAAUGCAUGCUCAAAUUUGAGAAACACUGUUUUAAGCCUUCCUUCAAAUGUCAGCAUAAACUCUAAGGCUUCCCCUAUAAGGAUGUGAAGAUCCUAGUAGACUUGCUAAAGGACCUGAAUCCCCACUUCCUCCCUCUUGGCAGUCCUCUCCUGCUCUUUAUUCAGGACUAAUUGAUGUUCACACUGGCCAAUUAGUCAAUGCUACAAUUCAAAUAGCCCCAGCUGGAGCCAAAAUUAACAUGAAAGCUUUCCUAAAAUAUUUGCGUGUUUUUUUUUUUUUAACAUUAUACAUGUUCCUAUUUGAAAAACAAGGAUUGGGGCCUAUUUUUAUUCAAGUAUGAAGGUAUGUUCAUGGGUUCCUUCCUCUCUAUAACCAUGUUAUAUGCUCAUCAAACACAAACACUGCUAAAAGUAGUUUAAGACUUCUCUACAAGUAGAAAAUAAAUAUGAUAAAAGUAGAUGUACAUCUUCAUUAUAUAACCACCCUAAUGUGCUGAUCAUGUCCAUCUUGUUCAUUCUAUUCGACUAAUAGUUAUCAGGCACCUAACAGGUGCUAGCACUAUUCUAGGUAGGUAUAGGGAAUUCAGCUGCAAACAAGAGAGACUGGUUGGGGGUGGAGGAGAAUCUCUUCCUCCUAGACCUUGUACUCUAGCAAAACAAAACACACUACAAAAAAAGUCAACAAACCAAUAAAUUGUAAGUACAGAUUGUGUUAAGUUACUCUGUAAGAUAUAUGCAGGAUGAUGUGAUAGUCUGGUGUAAACAGUGGCUUCCUUAGACAGGGUAGUUGGGAGGGCCUCUUUAGGGACAUCAUACACAAGCUCAGUCAAGAAUGGAAAGAACAAGUUUUAUAGAGAGGUAGAGGAAGAUGGAGGGUUUAGGCAAAAAUCAGAGCCAGCAACAGUUUGGGAUUUUUCAAGACAUGAAAGAAAGCCACAUUGAGUUAAUGGAGAAGAGUGUUGGGGAAAUAGAAUUAAAAACAAAAUCUUCUCCCAAUCCAGGAAACCUCUCCACAAAUGUAGAUGAGAAAGAGAACAGUUUUAUAAUCGAACAAGCAUUAAGUCAGAAUGUGACACUCAUCACAAGCAAUCCACUAAGUGAUUCCAAAGACUGCAAGCCAUCUCACCCCUCUACAUGGCCAAGUAGAUACAACCCAUUACAUACAUAUUCUGAGGAUAAACAACUAGUCAAGUAAGAGGACUUGACAGCACCAUUUGUCACACAGUUGCUCCUAAAUUUACUUAGUAGUGGGGUGACCAUCUGUGUUAGCUAAUUGGCUUUAUUCAAAGGAAAAAUAAACUUCUCUUUAUGACAAGAAGUAGUUUUAAAACUUGGAAUGAGGCGCCUGCUGUAGUUAAGUUCUAUCCUCCCACAGACUCUGGGAGUUAGGUAAGGGGCUCUAUCUUCCUUAAUGAUGACAUUUCAAAGAGAUGGCUCCCAGGGCCUUGAGAAACACAGUCCUGGGUCCUAAAGCUAGUAAGAGUCUAUUUUAGCUUUUACAGAGAUUUACAUACAUUUCAAACAGACAGUGGAAGAACUUAUGAGUUUUUUUAAAGUAAGUGUUCUAAGAUUAGGGAAGGAAAGGCAGUCCCAUCCCUUAUUUUCAACACUGAGAAUGAAACUCCUCGUUUUUGGUUUGUUUUCGCCCUUCCACAAGGCAUGAAUUAAAGUACACAGGGGCUAGAAUACACAAUGUGUAUUUCCUCAGAGAGAUGGAAACUCACUGAAGGUUUGUGGCAAGACCUAUUACACUUACAAGACACUCAGCCCCCCGCCGGAUGUUCUGUGAAGAACAAACACAUGACUUUGGUGACGAUUCUUGCCAAAAAUGCAUAACUUCAA
This 4580-nucleotide long non-coding RNA is filed under the name Canis lupus familiaris (dog). RNAcentral describes it as "lncRNA (ENSCAFG00000052901.1, ENSCAFG00805004693.1)". Lineage: Eukaryota; Metazoa; Chordata; Mammalia; Carnivora; Canidae. The record is from RNAcentral.